UUUUCAUCAGACAAUCUGUGUGAGCACUGCAAAGUACGCUUCUUUAAGGUAAGGAGGUGAUCCAACCGCAGGUUCCCCUACGGUUACCUUGUUACGACUUCACCCCAGUCAUGAAUCACAAAGUGGUAAGCGCCCUCCCGAAGGUUAAGCUACCUACUUCUUUUGCAACCCACUCCCAUGGUGUGACGGGCGGUGUGUACAAGGCCCGGGAACGUAUUCACCGUGGCAUUCUGAUCCACGAUUACUAGCGAUUCCGACUUCAUGGAGUCGAGUUGCAGACUCCAAUCCGGACUACGACGCACUUUAUGAGGUCCGCUUGCUCUCGCGAGGUCGCUUCUCUUUGUAUGCGCCAUUGUAGCACGUGUGUAGCCCUGGUCGUAAGGNNNNNNNNNNNNNNNNNNNNCCUUCCUCCAGUUUAUCACUGGCAGUCUCCUUUGAGUUCCCGGCCGGACCGCUGGCAACAAAGGAUAAGGGUUGCGCUCGUUGCGGGACUUAACCCAACAUUUCACAACACGAGCUGACGACAGCCAUGCAGCACCUGUCUCACGGUUCCCGAAGGCACAUUCUCAUCUCUGAAAACUUCCGUGGAUGUCAAGACCAGGUAAGGUUCUUCGCGUUGCAUCGAAUUAAACCACAUGCUCCACCGCUUGUGCGGGCCCCCGUCAAUUCAUUUGAGUUUUAACCUUGCGGCCGUACUCCCCAGGCGGUCUACUUAACGCGUUAGCUCCGGAAGCCACGCCUCAAGGGCACAACCUCCAAGUAGACAUCGUUUACGGCGUGGACUACCAGGGUAUCUAAUCCUGUUUGCUCCCCACGCUUUCGCACCUGAGCGUCAGUCUUUGUCCAGGGGGCCGCCUUCGCCACCGGUAUUCCUCCAGAUCUCUACGCAUUUCACCGCUACACCUGGAAUUCUACCCCCCUCUACAAGACUCAAGCCUGCCAGUUUCGAAUGCAGUUCCCAGGUUGAGCCCGGGGAUUUCACAUCCGACUUGACAGACCGCCUGCGUGCGCUUUACGCCCAGUAAUUCCGAUUAACGCUUGCACCCUCCGUAUUACCGCGGCUGCUGGCACGGAGUUAGCCGGUGCUUCUUCUGCGGGUAACGUCAAUUGCUGCGGUUAUUAACCACAACACCUUCCUCCCCGCUGAAAGUACUUUACAACCCGAAGGCCUUCUUCAUACACGCGGCAUGGCUGCAUCAGGCUUGCGCCCAUUGUGCAAUAUUCCCCACUGCUGCCUCCCGUAGGAGUCUGGACCGUGUCUCAGUUCCAGUGUGGCUGGUCAUCCUCUCAGACCAGCUAGGGAUCGUCGCCUUGGUGAGCCGUUACCUCACCAACAAGCUAAUCCCAUCUGGGCACAUCUGAUGGCAAGAGGCCCGAAGGUCCCCCUCUUUGGUCUUGCGACGUUAUGCGGUAUUAGCCACCGUUUCCAGUAGUUAUCCCCCUCCAUCAGGCAGUUUCCCAGACAUUACUCACCCGUCCGCCACUCGUCAGCAAAGCAGCNNNNNNNNNNNNNNNNNNNNCCCGUCCGCCACUCGUCAGCAAAGCAGCAAGCUGCUUCCUGUUACCGUUCGACUUGCAUGUGUUAGGCCUGCCGCCAGCGUUCAAUCUGAGCCAUGAUCAAACUCUUCAAUUUAAAAGUUUGAUGCUCAAUGAAUUAAACUUCGUAAUGAAUUACGUGUUCACUCUUGAGACUUGGUAUUCAUUUUUCGU
This 1710-nucleotide ribosomal RNA is filed under the name Salmonella enterica subsp. enterica serovar Paratyphi A. Its description in RNAcentral is "16S ribosomal RNA". The record is from RNAcentral. Lineage: Bacteria; Pseudomonadati; Pseudomonadota; Gammaproteobacteria; Enterobacterales; Enterobacteriaceae.